RNAcentral lists this unclassified non-coding RNA (793 nucleotides) under Hevea brasiliensis (rubber tree). Lineage: Eukaryota; Viridiplantae; Streptophyta; Magnoliopsida; Malpighiales; Euphorbiaceae. The record is from RNAcentral.
CCUGCACAGAAGCUUGAGAUUCUUUUUAGCGUGGUCUCUGCUCAGUUUGAUGUGAACCCAGGACUUAGUGGUCAUAUGCCUAUAAAUGUAUGGAAGAAAUGUUUGCAGAAUAUGCUGGUUAUUCUUGAUAUUCUGGUCCAGUAUCCUAACAUUGUAGUGGAUGAUAUGGUUGAGCCUGAUGAGAAUGAAACCCAGAAGGGGGCAGACUACAAUGGGACUAUUCGGGUUUGGGGGAACUUGGUGGCUUUCCUUGAGCGGAUAGAUGCUGAGUUCUNNNNNNNNNNNNNGAUCCACAUACGCGUGAGUAUGUUGAGAGACUGAGGGAUGAACCUAUGUUUUUGGUUCUUGCCCAGAAUGUCCAAGAGUAUCUAGAGAGGGUUGGAGACUUUAAAGCUGCAUCAAAGGUUGCCCUUAGGCGGGUUGAGCUGAUCUACUACAAACCACAAGAGGUUUAUGAUGCCAUGAGGAAAUUGGCUGAACAAGCAGAUGAUGGGGAUAAUGGUGAAAAGUCAGGGGAGGAACCUAAGGUUGAGGAAAGUAGGGGUCCAUCUGCUUUUGUUGUCACUCCUGAGCUUGUGCCUCGAAAGCCUACCUUCCCUGAGAGUAGCAGAACAAUGAUGGAUAUAUUAGUCUCACUCAUAUACAAGUAUGGAGAUGAGCGAACUAAAGCUCGUGCAAUGCUUUGUGAUAUCUACCACCAUGCUCUAUUGGAUGAGUUCUCAACUGCCCGUGACUUGCUAUUGAUGAGUCACCUGCAGGAUAGUAUCCAGCAUAUGGACAUUUCAACCCAGAU